RNAcentral lists this transfer RNA (73 nucleotides) under Canis lupus familiaris (dog). It matches the Rfam family "tRNA". Rfam says of the family: Transfer RNA (tRNA) molecules are approximately 80 nucleotides in length. Their secondary structure includes four short double-helical elements and three loops (D, anti-codon, and T loops). RNAcentral also lists the same sequence under 1 other name. Lineage: Eukaryota; Metazoa; Chordata; Mammalia; Carnivora; Canidae. The record is from Rfam by way of RNAcentral.
ACCUGGCUGGCUCAGUCGGAAGAGUAUGCGACUCUUAAUCUCAGGGUCAUGAGUUCGAGCCCCACGUUGGGUG